GGCAAAUCGCCAGGCGCCAUUUUGCAAAGCUCUGCGGUUGAUGGAUCUCCGGGCCCCUGGAGCAUCCGCCCUCGAUAUAUAACCAGCAUUGUACUGAGGCGAGGACAGAUCGUGAGAACUGGCAGCUGUGCUAGCAUCAAGGAAACUUGA
RNAcentral lists this long non-coding RNA (150 nucleotides) under Mustela putorius furo (domestic ferret). Its description in RNAcentral is "lncRNA (ENSMPUG00000031895.1)". The record is from RNAcentral. Lineage: Eukaryota; Metazoa; Chordata; Mammalia; Carnivora; Mustelidae.